CUUCUGGUUACGUGUAUCUUUCUGUAUCUACUUACAGUCCUUAGAAGGAAGAAAUUGGUUUGAGGAUGCAUCUCACAGGAGUUACAGUCAGAGGAAAUGGCCCCACUCCGAUCUAGGCUCGGAAAAGAAAUAGGAGAAUACCUGAGACUUUGGUACUAUUUUUGUACACCCUGCCCAGCAUAAUAAUAAAAAGUUUGUUAACCUGUAA
This is a long non-coding RNA of Suricata suricatta (meerkat), 208 nucleotides long. RefSeq lists it as uncharacterized. The transcript has 2 exons. Lineage: Eukaryota; Metazoa; Chordata; Mammalia; Carnivora; Herpestidae. The record is from RefSeq and is a predicted model, not a curated record.